AGGUGGCCUGCAAAAUGAAGCCAGGGCUUCUGUUGUACAGCCUCCGCCGAGACCUGUGAGCUUCCAGGAUUCCGAGAUUGACGAGGACACCGAUUCGACAGGCACGAAUUCUUGGACUCCUUCCCUCUCGAGGCAAAAGUGGGCUGUGCUCCCAAAAGCUGCUGCAAAGAGGUCCAAGAAGGCUCCUUCAACAACUCCUCCCGAGGUCUCCAAGCGGCCUCUGAUUGUAAGGCCUAGAAAGGAACCUUCUGAACCACCUAAAGGACGAUCGUCUCCCCCGCUGGUUGACAACGGCGCAAGAAUGGUGCUGAGACCACAGUCACGAAAAAAUUAUUCAG
Rhipicephalus sanguineus (brown dog tick) is the source of this 338-nucleotide RNA transcript. RefSeq lists it as uncharacterized. The transcript has 3 exons. Lineage: Eukaryota; Metazoa; Arthropoda; Arachnida; Ixodida; Ixodidae. The record is from RefSeq and is a predicted model, not a curated record.